UAUAGUCGACGUCGAUUCAGCAUUGUUAACGUCUCU
RNAcentral lists this transfer RNA (36 nucleotides) under Eryngium maritimum. RNAcentral describes it as "partial tRNA-Ser". The record is from RNAcentral. Lineage: Eukaryota; Viridiplantae; Streptophyta; Magnoliopsida; Apiales; Apiaceae.